UACAGAGGUCCCAAGCGUUGUUCGGAUUCAUUGGGCGUAAAGGGUGCGUAGGCGGCGCGGUAAGUCGGAUGUGAAAUCCCCAGGCUCAACCUGGGAACUGCAUCCGAUACUGGAUGGCUUGAAUUCGGGAGAGGGAUGCAGAAUUCCAGGUGUAGCGGUGAAAUGCGUAGAUAUCUGGAGGAAUACCGGUGGCGAAGGCGGCAUCCUGGACCGACAUUGACGCUGAGGAGCGAAAGCCAGGGGAGCAAACGGG
This 253-nucleotide ribosomal RNA is filed under the name uncultured bacterium. RNAcentral's name for it is "partial 16S ribosomal RNA". It matches the Rfam family "Bacterial small subunit ribosomal RNA", at positions 524 to 776 of the family's 1533-position model. The record is from RNAcentral.